AGCAGCCGCGGUAAUUCCAGCUCCAAUAGCGUAUAUUAAAGUUGUUGCAGUUAAAAAGCUCGUAGUUGAAUUUCGGGAUCGACGGGUCGGUCGCGCCUCUGGUGUGUACUGGCCCUGUCGGUUUCUCCCUUCUGACGAACCACGAUGUCAUUAAUUUGGUGUCGUGGGAAAUCAGGACUGUUACUUUGAAAAAAUUAGAGUGUUUAAAGCAGGCAUUCGCUUGAAUACAUUAGCAUGGAAUAAUGAAAUAGGACGUUUGAUCUUAUUUUGUUGGUUUCUAAGAUCGACGUAAUGAUUAAUAGGGAUAGUUGGGGGCAUUAGUAUUCAAUUGUCAGAGGUGAAAUUCUUGGAUUUAUUGAAGACUAACUACUGCGAAAGCAUUUGCCAAGGAUGUUUUCAUUAAUCAAGAACGAAAGUUAGGGGAUCGAAGACGAUCAGAUACCGUCGUAG
Molecule: ribosomal RNA, 450 nt
Filed under: uncultured Glomus
Lineage: Eukaryota; Fungi; Glomeromycota; Glomeromycetes; Glomerales; Glomeraceae
Also listed under: 1 other name
Description: SSU rRNA
Rfam family: Eukaryotic small subunit ribosomal RNA
Source: RNAcentral